AUUGAACGCUGGCGGCAUGCCUAACACAUGCAAGUCGAACGGUAACAGGAAGAUUCUUCCUCUUUUGCGUGAGAGACGGGGGCGUGAGGGAAAUGUCUGUAACAUGGCCUGAUGGAUGGGGAAACCUACGGGAAACGGAGACUAAACCCGCAUAAAGGCGGAAGGCCAGGGACCGAGAGCGUCGGGCCUAUUGGCAUCGGCUGUGCCCAGGUGGCAAGUCGGAUUAGCUAGGGGGUGAGGUAACGGCUUACCAAGGCGACGAUGAGUAGCAGAGCUGAGAGGAUGAUCGGCCACACUGGAACUGAGACACGGUCCAGACUCCUACGGGAGGCAGCAGUGGGGAAUAUUGCACAAUGGGCGCAAGCCUGAUGCAGCCAUGCCGCGUGUGUGAAGAAGGCCUUCGGGUUGUAAAGCACUUUUAUCGGGGAGGAACGAAUGAGUGUUAAUACCUGCGCGCCUUGACGGUACCCGAAGAAGAAGCACCGGCUAACUACGUG
Molecule: ribosomal RNA, 497 nt
Filed under: uncultured bacterium
Lineage: Bacteria
Description: partial 16S ribosomal RNA
Rfam family: Bacterial small subunit ribosomal RNA
Source: RNAcentral